Molecule: ribosomal RNA, 612 nt
Filed under: Clostridia bacterium
Lineage: Bacteria; Bacillati; Bacillota; Clostridia
Description: partial 23S ribosomal RNA
Rfam family: Bacterial large subunit ribosomal RNA
Source: RNAcentral
GAUCAAGCUAUUAAGAGCGUAUAGUGGAUGCCUUGGCAAUUGGCGCCGAUGAAGGCCGUGAUUAACUGCGAUAAGCCACGGGUAGGUGUAAGUAACCUGUGAUCCGUGGAUUGCCGAAUGAGGAAACUCACUUAGGGUAAUGCCUAAGUAUCCUGCAAUGAAUUCAUAGUUGCAGCGAGGGGAACCUACUGAACCGAAACAUCUUAGUAAGUAGAGGAAAAGAAAAUAAAAAAAUGAUUCCGUCAGUAGUGGCGAGCGAACGCGGAAGAGCCUAAACCGGAUUCGUCCGGGGUAAUGGACUGCAUAAGUGACCUUGAGGAUAAUGGAACGGUUUUGGGAAAGCCGGCCGAAGAGGGUGAAAGCCCCGUACACGAAAUCCAAGACUGCAGCGGCAGUAUCCGGAGUACCACGAGACACGAGAAACCUUGUGGGAAAUCGGGGGGACCACCCCCCAAGGCUAAAUACUACCUGGUGACCGAUAGCGCAUAGUACUGUGAAGGAAAGGUGAAAAGGACCCCGGGAGGGGAGUGAAAGAGAACCUGAAACCCUGUGUUUACAAUCAGCGGGAGUGCCUUACGAGCACGACCGCGUACUUUUUGUAGAACGGUCCGG